GGCAAUGUUUUAAUGGACUAGAGUAUUCAUCACAAGCCAAGCUGUGGGGCAUUGCUACCAUCUGUUGGGAAAGAAUUCCUCCUGUGCUCUGGGCAAGCAGAGGUGGGAGGGCUGCCAGCCACUUUCCACUUGGCCCCGGGUGGGCAUCUAAGCCACUAACCCCACUCGGCAGGGGGUGGACAAUGGGCAGCCUCAGAUACCAGGGGCCUUGGGGCGACACCCUUGGCCCCCGGGGUUACAGGAGAGAGGGCUGAGGGAGAGGUUCCCACUCAGGAGAGAGUCCUUAGUCCGGCCCUUGACUGGAGCACAGGAAGGCCUUCCAUCGGGAGACUAGAAAUGGCUCAUUAGAAGAAAGCCUAUCCCAUCAUCCAAGCGUAGUGGGCCUUGAUGAACAGAGACAGUCUAUGAUUUUAGAGCUUUAUUGUAGAAAGGCGAGGG
RNAcentral lists this long non-coding RNA (438 nucleotides) under Mus musculus (house mouse). RNAcentral's name for it is "long non-coding RNA chr4:83467665-83468103". Lineage: Eukaryota; Metazoa; Chordata; Mammalia; Rodentia; Muridae. The record is from RNAcentral.